CUUGCACAGGUGCUGCAUGGCUGUCGUCAGCUCGUGUCGUGAGAUGUUCGGUUAAGUCCGCUAACCGAGCGCAACCCUCGCUGUGUGUUACAAGUGUCACACGGUACUGCCGGUCUUAAGCCGGAGGAAGGUGGGGAUGACGUCAAGUCAGCAUGGCCUUUAUGUCCUGGGCUACACACACGCUACAAUGGCCAACACAAUAGGUUGCUAAGCCGCGAGGUGGAGCCAAUCCUCAAAGUUGGUCUCAGUUCAGAUUGCAGGCUGCAACCCGCCUGCAUGAAGAUGGAGUUGCUAGUAACCGCAGGUCAGCUAUACUGCGGUGAAUACGUUCCCGGGGCUU
Molecule: ribosomal RNA, 340 nt
Filed under: uncultured Leptolinea sp.
Lineage: Bacteria; Bacillati; Chloroflexota; Anaerolineae; Anaerolineales; Anaerolineaceae
Description: bacterial SSU rRNA
Rfam family: Bacterial small subunit ribosomal RNA
Source: RNAcentral